AGGGCACCACCAGGAGUGGAGCCUGCGGCUUAAUUUGACUCAACACGGGAAAACUCACCCGGCCCGGACACCGUAAGGAUUGACAGAUUGAGAGCUCUUUCUUGAUUCGGUGGUUGGUGGUGCAUGGCCGUUCUUAGUUGGUGGAGCGAUUUGUCUGGUUUAUUCCGAUAACGAACGAGACUCUGGCCUACUAAAUAGAUCGUCGGCUUACAAACGCUGAUGAGACUUCUUAGAGGGACAGGCGGCGAUUCAGCCGCACGAAACAGAGCAAUAACAGGUCUGUGAUGCCCUUAGAUGUCCGGGGCCGCACGCGCGCUACACUGAAGUGAUCAGCGUGCAUUUUCAGCCUACUCUGCCAAGAGUGGGAAACCCAAUGAACCUUCUUCGUGAUUGGGAUAGGAGAUUGUGAUUAUUCUCCUUGAACGAGGAAUUCCCAGUAAGCGCGAGUCAUAAGCUCGCGUUGAUUACGUCCCUGCCCUUUGUACACACCGCCCGUCGCUACUACCGAUUGAAUGUUUU
This 519-nucleotide ribosomal RNA is filed under the name uncultured eukaryote. RNAcentral describes it as "SSU rRNA". It matches the Rfam family "Eukaryotic small subunit ribosomal RNA", at positions 1161 to 1699 of the family's 1831-position model. The record is from RNAcentral.